UAUUUGAAUGUGUCGUAGAUGACGGCAACUUUGAUUGUGAUUAAAGUAGCUGCAGAUUAAACAAUGAAAACAAAAUAAAUUACGGUUAAAACAAGUUGUUUAUGUGGGAAUCCAAUCUGUUUUCGGCAAGCAUUAUGCCCAAACUAACUGUCAAACUAGGAAAUAAAUCGGAUGCAUUGUAGAACAUUUGAGUAGCACAACGAAAUAACCUUGAACUUUGGAUCAGCCUUUAAACCGUAUCAUAGCAUUUUCAACAAAAUGAAUCGCUCCGACUCUAUCCGCCGAGAUCGCUCUUUCGAUAGCGUUCUCAAUAAGUUGAUGCGUAUGCGGUCACAGAAUAAUGAAACAUUCAAAGCAGCAAUGUACAAUUUUCUAAUAGCAGCUGGCAUUGCUGCAUUCGUUGCUGUCUGUUUCAUUCUCGGCCCAUUUGUACGUCCACUUCUUUGGGCUUUUCUUAUGGGCGCAGUUCUUUUUCCUUUCAAACGGCGUUUAGCACAACUGCUAAACGGUUGGUUUGAGCGCCUAGAAGACCGUGAUUCAAACGUUAUGGUGUCGAUAUGUUUGGCCCCGCUCGAAGCAACCGAGUACUGCGGCAGCUUGCUGGUGAGUUGGUUGCGGGAACACUGGCAAUUGUUGACAGCAGGUGUUGGCUUGGCUGCGUGCUUUAAACUGUUGAUGUUGUAUGCGCCCAAAGGAUUUCUCUGUGCCAUCUGGCGCUUUGUGGUGUUUUCGCAUACUACUUUCGUACGAUUAAUUGGUUUUCUGAAUAUUUACAUGCUAUUUGUAAUAAUCGUAGUCUACUUGACUUCGGUUUAUUUUUUGUGGAAACCAGAAAAUAGUCCUAAGUUUGUCAUGGCUGGUCAGUCGCUGUGGGUUGCUAUCGUCAGUUACGGUUGCAGCUUUUUAGGGGCACUGCAAGUACCUGCUUUUAUUUCGAUUAUGUUAUACGUGGGUGCAUCUAUUAUUUAUCAUAUGCGUACUGUCGAGGGGUCCAGCAGUUGUAUAGAUAAACUAAAGAAGUUGCUCGACAAAACAGAUUUUGAAAAGUCCGUGAGAAACAUUAGUAUAAAGAAGCAAAGCUUACAUUCAGAUGCUGAGGAUGUAUCAAUGAGUGAAACGAUGGAUUCCUUGGAUACCGUAGAGUUGGUGGACGAAAAGCAUGGCCAACAUUUAAGUGAUAUGUAUUUUAAGUGUUUGUUUUAUGCAUGCGUAGCCACAUUUUUGUACCGAAACAUAUGGAUGUUCAUAUUGGCCGCAAUACCCACAUCAUUGCAUCUGUUAUACACAUUGGGCAAUGUGACUGGCUUUACGACAUUCAUUUCAAAUAAACUCAAUGAAGUCUAUGAAACACUGAAGUCGUGGGCUAUCGAUCAUCACUCUGCCGUAUUGCCACUUUGUUUGCCUGGAGUGCUUGAAUUGAAUUAUAAAAUAAACGCAAUCAUACGUGACUCAUUGAAGUCCUCCGUCGAUUUAGUUACUUCCAUAUUGAUGAUUAUUCUUAUGCUCUUGAUAAUUACUUUCUUGGGAGUAUUUUUCUGCGUGAAUAUUUAUUCGGAAACAAUUGAGGUUGCUUAUCUGGGAAAAGAUCUGAUCAACAAAACAAUUACUGAUCGUCCUGAAUUAGUCGAUAUACUGCCGGAGAAUAUACAGUCUUCCCUAGAUGAUGCGUUGGAUAAUGCACAUCAUUAUGGACGUCGGAAAAUCGAAACGUAUAUCGAUGAUUGGCUUGCUGAAGCGGAUUCAGUACAUGCAACCAAAUUGAAGGAACAAAUUUUAGAUGUUUGGGAUCGUUUGAUACAAUAUUGGAUUGAUGUAAAUAAAUCUGAUUCCUCAUAUGGACCACGUGUGCCAACUGAUGCGCUAAAGACGACAUUCGGUGAAAUUGUUGAUAAUCCAGGACAUUUUAAAGAGCUAGUUUUAGUGGCUAAACAGGGCAUUAUCGGUUGGGCGAAGAGCAAUACGCAGACCAUACUGGAAGUAGCUGAAUCUCUGUGGCACAUCAUUCGUACGAAUCUCUCGAUGAUAAUGACGUUUACCGGUGAAAUCUUAUCUUUGUUGAUGUCUGGAGGUCAGGCUUGUGUGGAAUUCAUACUCGAUAUGAUUGUCUUCUUCACAGCGCUAUUCUAUUUGCUGUCCAGCAGCAAUACGAAAUAUGCGCCACUACAAAUCACCAAAUAUUUGGGACUGCCUACAUCUGGCUCCAAGAUCGCCGAUGCGUUGGAAAACUCUAUUUCGGGUGUGCUAAUUUCCAUGUUUAAAUGCUCCAUCUUUACGGGCCUCUUCACGUGGCUGGUACAUACAGUGUUUGGCGCCCGUAUUGUCUUUCUGCCAUCGGCGCUGGCAGCGAUUUUGUCUGCGGCUCCAUUUCUGGGCAGUUAUUGGUGUGCUUUGCCCGCUUUGUUAGAGUUAUGGCUGGCACAAGAUCGCUUCUACGCUGGACUCGUGCUCUUCCUGUUGCAAUUCUUUGUGCCGCCCUACUUUGAGGCAGCCAUCUAUACAGAAAUGAAGGGCGGUGGACAUCCAUAUUUGACUGGUUUAGCUAUUGCCGGCGGCAUGUAUUGGGUUGGUUGGCAGGGUGCAAUCUUUGGACCGCUCAUGCUCUGCUUCUUCAUUGGCACCUUUGAAGUGGCAGCUGUAGCUAUGCGUAGUAAUGAUGAUUUGAGACGCAGCUCUGAAGAAGACACCCGCGCGACGUGAGUUGCUUAUUGAACUCAUUGACACAUGCCAAAUGACAUAAGCAUUCAAAGCAAAUAACUCUACCCGUGGUUAUGUAUUUCGCCAAACACUAAACUUGCUGCUAACACACUUCAUUCAUGCUAAUACGUUUCAUGCAACUUCAACUUAUGAGCGUUGAUAAAUUUAGCUUUUAACAAGAGUUCUUGAAUUCGAGCUCCUUCAUUGGAUCAAUGUUAACAUGCAUCCACGCUGAUUUGUAAAACUUACGCAGGCAUUCCUUUUAUGACUACUAACGUUAAGCAAAUUACUAUAAUAUUAGCAUGAAAUAGCAGCAAUUAAAAAUUUACUUCUUGACUCGAUUGAUUGAAUUAAUGAAAUUAAUGUAAAAAGUGGCGCAACAGGCUCGAAUACUUUGAGAAUCAAAUGUAACUACUUAUGUGUUAAAUCUAUAUGUACCUAACUACUGCAAUACAUGGCGUAUGUAUAAAUAGCAGUUGAUUCUGAAACUAAAAGAAAAAUUACACUCAUAAUAAAUAAUGAUAACGAAUUUUGCAGUCAGACAAUGAAAAAAUUUAUCAAUGAAAUUUAUUGAUUUGUUGUGUAAUUAUAAAAUUUAUAUAAAUUUUAUGUAACGUGCUCCGCCCAUUAUCUACCCAAGUGAUAUGUCAAAUGAGUUUUUUUUGUAUUACAUUUUUUUAAGACGAUUCAAAAUACAUCUUUUAUAAAAC
Anastrepha ludens (Mexican fruit fly) is the source of this 3404-nucleotide RNA transcript. It is a transcript of the gene named transmembrane protein 245, with no coding region annotated. The transcript has 9 exons. NCBI's taxonomy places the organism in Eukaryota, Metazoa, Arthropoda, Insecta, Diptera, Tephritidae. The record is from RefSeq and is a predicted model, not a curated record.